Molecule: ribosomal RNA, 255 nt
Filed under: uncultured marine alveolate
Lineage: Eukaryota
Description: partial 18S ribosomal RNA
Rfam family: Eukaryotic small subunit ribosomal RNA
Source: RNAcentral
GUAAAGCUCGUAGUUGGAUUCUGCGAGGCAACCGGUGAAUUUACGUCGCAUUCGGUUCGGUCUCGGCAUCCUCGCGGGGAACGUUUCUGGACUUUAUUGGACAGGGCGAGAUUCACGACUUUUACUUUGAGGAAAUUAGAGUGUUCACGGCAGGCAAGUGCUUUGAAUACAUUAGCAUGGAAUAAUAAUAUAGGACCUUUGUUCUAUUUUGUUGGUUUCUAGAACUUAGGUAAUGAUUAAUAGGGACAAUUGGGG